Molecule: ribosomal RNA, 461 nt
Filed under: uncultured bacterium
Lineage: Bacteria
Description: partial 16S ribosomal RNA
Rfam family: Bacterial small subunit ribosomal RNA
Source: RNAcentral
AAUGAACGUUGGCGGCAUGGAUUAGGCAUGCAAGUCGGGGGAAUCCCAGCAAUGGGGGAACCGGCGUAAGGGGCAGUAAGGCAUGGGUACCUACCUUGGGGUUCGGGAUAGCCAUCAGAGAUGGUGGGUAAUACCGGAUGACGUCGUGAGACCAAAGAUUUAUCGCCCUUAGAGGGGCCCAUGUGAUAUUAGCUAGUUGGUGGGGUAACGGCCCACCAAGACGAAGAUGUCUAGCGGGUGUGAGAGCACGACCCGCGCCACUCGCACUGAGACACUGGCGAGACACCUACGGGUGGCUGCAGUCGGGGAUCUUCGGCAAUGAGCGCAAGCUUGACCGAGCGAUGCCGCGUGAGCGAUGAAGGCCUUCGGGUUGUAAAGCUCUUUAGUGGGGGAGAUAAGCCGCAAGGUGUGAUCUAUCCCAAAAUAAGCACGGGCUAAGUUCGUGCCAGCCGCCGCCGUAA